RNAcentral lists this ribosomal RNA (439 nucleotides) under uncultured bacterium. RNAcentral describes it as "partial 16S ribosomal RNA". It matches the Rfam family "Bacterial small subunit ribosomal RNA", at positions 339 to 795 of the family's 1533-position model. The record is from RNAcentral.
CUACGGGGUGCUGCAGUAGGGAAUCUUAGACAAUGGGGGAAACCCUGAUCUAGCCAUGCCGCGUGGGUGAUGAAGGCCUUAGGGUUGUAAAGCUCUUUCGCUGGGGAAGAUAAUGACGGUACCCAGUAAAGAAACCCCGGCUAACUCCGUGCCAGCAGCCGCGGUAAUACGGAGGGGGUUAGCGUUGUUCGGAAUUACUGGGCGUAAAGCGCGCGUAGGCGGGCUAUUAAGUCAGGGGUGAAAUCCCGGGGCUGAACCCCGGAACUGCCUUGGAUACUGGUGGUCUUGAGUUCGAGAGAGGUGAGUGGGAUUCCGAGUGUAGAGGUGAAAUUCGUAGAUAUUCGGAGGAACAUCAGUGGCGAAGGCGACUCACUGGCUCGAUACUGACGCUGAGGUGCGAAAGUGUGGGGAGCAAACAGGAUUAGAUACCCCGGUAGUC